AGGAUCCGCACGUCCUCCCGUCCGUUGCAUCGAUUUUUUUAAAUUUUCUGACGAAAAAGUGCGUUUAGUGUACACAAUUUAUGCUUAAUCUGUUACUAGUGCCCUGCUUAGCCUCCUUAAAAAGCGCGUUAUAUUAAUACUACAACACCACACACUCCUUUG
Molecule: long non-coding RNA, 162 nt
Organism: Sitophilus oryzae (rice weevil)
Lineage: Eukaryota; Metazoa; Arthropoda; Insecta; Coleoptera; Curculionidae
Exons: 2
Source: RefSeq, a predicted model, not a curated record